RNAcentral lists this ribosomal RNA (1512 nucleotides) under Clostridioides difficile. RNAcentral's name for it is "bacterial LSU rRNA". It matches the Rfam family "Bacterial large subunit ribosomal RNA", at positions 1401 to 2925 of the family's 2925-position model. Lineage: Bacteria; Bacillati; Bacillota; Clostridia; Peptostreptococcales; Peptostreptococcaceae. The record is from RNAcentral.
GCCGAAAGGCGUAGGUGAUGGACAACAGGUUGAUAUUCCUGUACUACCGAUAACCGUUUGAGAGAAGGGAUGACACAGUAGGAUAAGCUAAGCACACUGUUGGUUAUGUGUGCCCAAGCAUUGAGGCAGUCAAAGUAGGCAAAUCCGCUUUGAUAAUGCUGGGAUGUGAUGGGGAGCGAAAUUUAGUAGCGAAGUAGCUGAUUUCACACUGUCAAGAAAAGUCUCUAUCGAGGUUAAAGGUACCCGUACCGCAAACCGACACAGGUGGGUGAGGAGAGUAUCCUAAGGCCAGCGAGAGAACUGUUGUUAAGGAACUCGGCAAAAUGACCCCGUAACUUAGGGAUAAGGGGUGCCACCAUCAGGUGGCCGCAGAGAAUAGGCCCAAGCGACUGUUUACCAAAAACAUAGGUUUCUGCUAAGUCGCAAGACGAUGUAUAGGAGCUGACGCCUGCCCGGUGCUGGAAGGUUAAGGGGAUCUGUUAGAGCAAUCGAAGCAGUGAACUUAAGCCCCAGUAAACGGCGGCCGUAACUAUAACGGUCCUAAGGUAGCGAAAUUCCUUGUCGGGUAAGUUCCGACCCGCACGAAAGGCGUAACGAUUUGGGCACUGUCUCAACAACAGACUCGGUGAAAUUGUAAUUCCGGUGAAGAUGCCGGAUACCUGCGACAGGACGGAAAGACCCCAUGGAGCUUUACUGUAGCUUGACAUUGGGUCUUGGUACUACAUGUACAGGAUAGGUGGGAGGCUUUGAAACCAGGACGCCAGUUUUGGCGGAGCCAUCCUUGGGAUACCACCCUUGUAGUACUGGGACUCUAACCAUAGGCCAUGAAUCUGGUCUUGGGACACUGUCAGGUGGGCAGUUUGACUGGGGCGGUCGCCUCCCAAAAGGUAACGGAGGCGCUCAAAGGUUCUCUCAGUACGGUCGGAAAUCGUACGUAGAGUGUAAAGGCAAAAGAGAGCUUGAUUGCAAGACAUACAGGUCGAGCAAGGAUGAAAAUCGGACUUAGUGAUCCGGUGGUUCUGCGUGGAAGGGCCAUCGCUCAACGGAUAAAAGCUACCCUGGGGAUAACAGGCUUAUCUCCCCCAAGAGUCCACAUCGACGGGGAGGUUUGGCACCUCGAUGUCGGCUCAUCACAUCCUGGGGCUGUAGUAGGUCCCAAGGGUUGGGCUGUUCGCCCAUUAAAGUGGUACGCGAGCUGGGUUCAGAACGUCGUGAGACAGUUCGGUCCCUAUCCGUCGCAGGCGUAGGAAAUUUGAGAAGACCUGUCCUUAGUACGAGAGGACCGGGAUGGACGUACCUCUGGUGUACCAGUUGUCCUGCCAAGGGCAUGGCUGGGUAGCUAUGUACGGAAUGGAUAAGCGCUGAAAGCAUCUAAGCGCGAAGCCAACUUCAAGAUAAGAUUUCCCACCGCAAGGGUAAGACCCCAGAAAGACUAUCUGGUUGAUAGGUCGAAGGUGUAAGUGCAGCAAUGUAUUUAGCUUAUCGAUACUAAUAGGUCGAGGACUUGACCAA